Molecule: ribosomal RNA, 443 nt
Filed under: uncultured bacterium
Lineage: Bacteria
Description: partial 16S ribosomal RNA
Rfam family: Bacterial small subunit ribosomal RNA
Source: RNAcentral
GCUACGGGCGGCAGCAGUGGGGGAUAUUGGACAAUGGGGGAAACCCUGAUCCAGCGACGCCGCGUGAGUGAAGAAGUAUUUCGGUAUGUAAAGCUCUGUCAGCAGGGAAGAAAGAAAUGACGGUACCUGACCAAGAAGCCCCGGCUAACUACGUGCCAGCAGCCGCGGUAAUACGUAGGGGGCAAGCGUUAUCCGGAAUUACUGGGUGUAAAGGGAGCGUAGACGGGGAUGCAAGUCUGGAGUGAAAGGCGGUGGCCCAACCCCCGGACUGCUCUGGAAACUGUGUAACUUGAGUGCAGGAGGGGUAAGCGGAAUUCCUAGUGUAGCGGUGAAAUGCGGAGAUAUUAGGAGGAACACCAGUGGCGAAGGCGGCUUACUGGACUGUAACUGACGUUGAGGCUCGAAAGCGUGGGGAGCAAACAGGAUUAGAUACCCUUGUAGUC